AGUCGUCUGUGUUCAUGAUCAGAAGCAGUUCUCGGGGGCUGCCACCAGGAGGCGCUGAGUGCACCAAAUUUGGUAUAGUCUGAAGGACAGACCGGGGAUGGGUCGAUCUAAACCAGACUGCAGCUAUCCUCUAAGGAGACAUAUGACGACUUGUUAUUAAAACAUAAAUCCCUAUUAAAUUUAAAGAUCAGUUUCAGAUAUUAGGAAGUUGUUUCAUCACAUCUUUGAAAAACAGAAAAACCCUGUGUGAAGUCUGAUGAACGCUCAACUUCACACCUCCUUCCUGUAAGAGCUGAGUCUGUCCAUGCUUUUCAUCUUUUUACCCUCCUCCUCCUCCUCCUCCUUACAAAAGUGACCCAUUUCUGUUUCUUUUCUCUUCAUACAAAAAUGAAUAAAUGUAUUUAUUAUGAGCUCAGAAACUCAAUGGUCAAAUAACAAAUAGAAAAAAAAAAAAUUACAGCAAGUCUGUCCUGAUUUUUUACAAUUCACUAAAUAAAAGUCUAGACUGAAGCCUGGUGCCUCUAUUAUGAUACCAAGUUCCUCACUGCAGCUUUGAUUGAGAUUUUACAUUCAACAGUGUCUUUAAACUCAUUGUCCAGAUUAUUAUUAUCAGUAAUGGGUUGGAGUUUUCUAGAGAAAAGUUACUGAAAAUUCAAUAUUUUACAUCCAAGACAGUGAAAAGAUAUAUUCAGGACUCACUAGAUGAAAACUAAGAUGAUUUUUCAUGUAGUUUUGACUUUUUUCACCCUUAGCUCCACAUUUUAUCAUUUGAAAAACAUGAAUAUUUGAGAUCUUUAACGAUUGUAAUUGUAAUUUUAAUAUCUUUGUUAGAACUGCUUGAGGUGCCCCCCACAACAGACUUUCCUACCAACAUACCAGUUAAUUAUGAUGUCUAGACUUCCUUAUCUACCAGUAAGAUACAACAUCCUGCAGGAUACUUCAGGUGUGAAACAUCCCCAACACCACCCCAGGGUGGGUGGAGUGACGGUCCGCACAGAAAACAAAAGAUGCCAACAACAAAUCCCCAUUCCUCGCCCUCUGAGGGGCGGUCCUCAAGCAUAGAUGUUCAGGUUUCCCCA
Xyrichtys novacula (pearly razorfish) is the source of this 1079-nucleotide non-coding RNA. The record is from the annotation of a GenBank genome assembly. Lineage: Eukaryota; Metazoa; Chordata; Actinopteri; Labriformes; Labridae.